RNAcentral lists this transfer RNA (81 nucleotides) under Neolentinus lepideus HHB14362 ss-1. RNAcentral describes it as "tRNA-Ala". It matches the Rfam family "tRNA". From Rfam's summary of the family: Transfer RNA (tRNA) molecules are approximately 80 nucleotides in length. Their secondary structure includes four short double-helical elements and three loops (D, anti-codon, and T loops). Further hydrogen bonds mediate the characteristic L-shaped molecular structure. tRNAs have two regions of fundamental functional importance: the anti-codon, which is responsible for specific mRNA codon recognition, and the 3' end, to which the tRNAs corresponding amino acid is attached (by aminoacyl-tRNA synthetases). tRNAs cope with the degeneracy of the genetic code in two manners: having more than one tRNA (with a specific anti-codon) for a particular amino acid; and 'wobble' base-pairing, i.e. permitting non-standard base-pairing at the 3rd anti-codon position. The record is from RNAcentral. Lineage: Eukaryota; Fungi; Basidiomycota; Agaricomycetes; Gloeophyllales; Gloeophyllaceae.
GGGCACUUGGUGUAGAUGGUUAUCACGCUCGCUUAGCACUUCAUUUGCGAGAGGGGACCGGUUCAAUUCCGGUAGUGUCCA